GCCAGACUCCUACGGGAGGCAGCAGUGGGGGAUAUUGCACAAUGGGGGAAACCCUGAUGCAGCGACGCCGCGUGUGGGAAGACGGUCCUCUGGAUUGUAAACCACUGUCCCCAGGGACGAAGAUGACGGUACCUGGGGAGGAAGCUCCGGCUAACUCCGUGCCAGCAGCCGCGGUAAUACGGAGGAUGCGAGCGUUAUCCGGAUUUAUUGGGUUUAAAGGGUGCGCAGGCGGAGGCACAAGUCAGCGGUAAAAUGGCGGGGCUCAACCCCGCUCCGCCGUUGAAACUGUGUCCCUUGAGUGCGCGAAGGGUAGGCGGAAUGCGUGGUGUAGCGGUGAAAUGCAUAGAUAUCACGCAGAACUCCGAUCGCGAAGGCAGCCUACCGGCGCGCAACUGACGCUCAUGCACGAAAGCGUGGGUAUCGAACAGGAUUAGAUACCCUCGUAC
RNAcentral lists this ribosomal RNA (446 nucleotides) under uncultured bacterium. Its description in RNAcentral is "bacterial SSU rRNA". It matches the Rfam family "Bacterial small subunit ribosomal RNA", at positions 330 to 793 of the family's 1533-position model. The record is from RNAcentral.